This 216-nucleotide ribosomal RNA is filed under the name Torulaspora delbrueckii. RNAcentral's name for it is "partial 18S ribosomal RNA". The stretch from base 163 to 216 matches the Rfam family "5.8S ribosomal RNA", at positions 1 to 54 of the family's 154-position model. The record is from RNAcentral. Lineage: Eukaryota; Fungi; Ascomycota; Saccharomycetes; Saccharomycetales; Saccharomycetaceae.
ACUCUACUUCACCUUCUACAACACUGUGGAGUUUUCUACACAACUCUUCUUCUUUGGGAAGAAACGUCUUGGGCGUGCUUCCCAGAGGUGAAAAACACAAACAACUUUUUAUUAUUAUAAACCAGUCAAAACCAAUUUCGUUAUGAAAUUAAAAAUAUUUAAAACUUUCAACAACGGAUCUCUUGGGUCCCGCCUCCAUGAAGAACGCAGCAAAAU